Molecule: ribosomal RNA, 441 nt
Filed under: uncultured bacterium
Lineage: Bacteria
Description: partial 16S ribosomal RNA
Rfam family: Bacterial small subunit ribosomal RNA
Source: RNAcentral
CCUACGGGUGGCAGCAGUGGGGAAUUUUGCGCAAUGCUCGUAAGAGUGACGCAGCGACGCCGCGUGGGUGAAGGAGUGCUUCGGCAUGUAAAGCCCUAUCGGCAGGGAAGAAGCAAGACGGUACCUGACUAAGAAGCCCCGGCUAACUACGUGCCAGCAGCCGCGGUAAUACGUAGGGGGCGAGCGUUAUCCGGAUUCACUGGGUGUAAAGGGAGCGUAGACGGCCAAGCAAGCCAGGGGUGAAAGCCCGGGGCCCAACCCCGGGACUGCCCGUGGAACUGCAUGGCUGGAGUGCGGGAGGGGCAGGCGGAAUUCCUGGUGUAGCGGUGAAAUGCGUAGAUAUCAGGAGGAACACCGGCGGCGAAGGCGGCCUGCUGGACCGCGACUGACGUUGAGGCUCGAAAGCGUGGGGAGCGAACAGGAUUAGAUACCCUUGUAGUC